RNAcentral lists this long non-coding RNA (811 nucleotides) under Zonotrichia albicollis (white-throated sparrow). RNAcentral's name for it is "lncRNA (ENSZALG00000010865.1)". Lineage: Eukaryota; Metazoa; Chordata; Aves; Passeriformes; Passerellidae. The record is from RNAcentral.
GGGACCUCUGACCUGCAUGCCAGAGAAGGAAAACUUAAAAGCAUCUGUUUCCCCCUGUGCAAUUUUCACACUUCUGUUCCUGGGAGGCUGAAGUUUGGCCCUUGGGGCUGGAAUGGAAGGUUCCAGAUCAGCACCUGAGAUCUCCAUCUGUAUCACCAUCCUCAGCAACUGCUCAGAGGCCCACAGGAAGGUGGGUUCCACAGGAAUCCUUGGUGAGAUCAUGUAAGGUGGCCACGUAAUGGGUGCCUAGGACUGCAGGCUCCGCUGGAUCUGUCUGCAAUAAUUCCUCAGCCCAGUCGUGCUUGGAGGGGAACUUGGCACCAUGUUUCUUGGCCUCUCCAAAUCUGGAUUAUGAUGGAUACCACAAAUACAUAGAUGAAAUGCUUCCAUCUGAAAGCCCUGUACUAUAUAGACUGCACCCCAGUGCUGAGAUGGGAUUCUUGUCAACAUCAGAUAAUCUCUUCAAAUCUCCUUUGGAAAAGCAAGCCAUAUCUCCAUGGGAGAGGGAUCAGGCCAGUCUGCAGUGAAGAGUUCCAGAGCAAGCCUGAGGCGAGAGAAGCUCUUUCUGGGGGUGAGCCAUGUCUGUGCCUGUGCUGUGUUUUGCCUAAUGCCUGAGACAGCAAGGACUGUGGGUGGUGGAGGGGGUGAUGGAAGCUAUUAGGUACUAGAGAAAUACAAACUACUGACUGAAAAAUCAAGUCACACUUGACUGAAAAUCAAGACAAUUCCAGGGUGUAUCCUAGUAACAGCAGUCAUCCCAAGUCCAGGACAACGCAUUAGUAGGCUUCAAGGGUCAAUGUUACCUGAAGAU